RNAcentral lists this transfer RNA (87 nucleotides) under Flexibacter flexilis DSM 6793. It matches the Rfam family "tRNA". From Rfam's summary of the family: Transfer RNA (tRNA) molecules are approximately 80 nucleotides in length. Their secondary structure includes four short double-helical elements and three loops (D, anti-codon, and T loops). Lineage: Bacteria; Pseudomonadati; Bacteroidota; Cytophagia; Cytophagales; Flexibacteraceae. The record is from Rfam by way of RNAcentral.
AGAGAGGUGUCUGAGUGGUUGAAAGAGCACGCCUGGAAAGUGUGUAUGCGCGAAAUCGCAUCGGGAGUUCGAAUCUCCUCCUCUCUG